RNAcentral lists this long non-coding RNA (318 nucleotides) under Ananas comosus (pineapple). RNAcentral's name for it is "long non-coding RNA (ACOM_LNC004616)". The record is from RNAcentral. Lineage: Eukaryota; Viridiplantae; Streptophyta; Magnoliopsida; Poales; Bromeliaceae.
AGUUAGGACCAUGUAUAUAUGUAUAGUCCGGCUAGGAUACUAUCGAUAGCACGGAGCAUUUGGUGCUAUCAAGUUUUCUGCCGUUAGAUUUACAUCUUUUAUCAUUUUCAUCCGUUCGAUUAUACUAUUUAACUAACCACCCACUCAACCCUAGAGGACUCAUAUCAUCCUAACUACACAUUUUUUAAUUCAAGGACAGAAAAUUUAAUACCAUCAAGUCAUUGGUGCUAUUAAUAGUAUUCCACUCUAGUUCUCUCUCUCUAUAUAUAUACACACACUCUCAACCUAGGUUUUUUUUUUUAAUUAAAAUUUUACCAA